This is a long non-coding RNA of Aricia agestis (brown argus), 94 nucleotides long. RefSeq lists it as uncharacterized. The transcript has 3 exons. Lineage: Eukaryota; Metazoa; Arthropoda; Insecta; Lepidoptera; Lycaenidae. The record is from RefSeq and is a predicted model, not a curated record.
GCCAGAUUGAUUGAAAUUUCUUUCAUCCAACUUCUACCAAAAAUAGGGUCUACGUCUUGAUUAAUAAUGUAUAAUUUUCCGCUAUAAUUUUGAU